CACAAGUUAUGUUGUGUUAUCGACAAGUGAAUUCAUAGCUUGUCAGAAGGCAGACCCGGAGAACUGAAACAUCUUAGUACCCGGAGGAAGAGAAAGAAAAUUCGAUUCCCUGAGUAGCGGCGAGCGAAACGGGAAGAGCCCAAACCAAUAAGCUUGCUUAUUGGGGUUGUAGGACACUCUAUACGGAGUUACAAAGGAAUAUAUUAAACGAAUCAUCUGGAAAGUUGAAUCAAAGAAGGUAAUAAUCCUGUAGUUGAAAAUAUAUUCUCUCUUGAGUGGAUCCUGAGUACGACGGAGCACGUGAAAUUCCGUCGGAAUCUGGGAGGACCAUCUCCUAAGGCUAAAUACUCUCUAGUGACCGAUAGUGAACCAGUACCGUGAGGGAAAGGUGAAAAGUACCCCGGAAGGGGAGUGAAAGAGAACUUGAAACCGUGUGCUUACAAGUAGUCAGAGCCCGUUAAUGGGUGAUGGCGUGCCUUUUGUAGAAUGAACCGGCGAGUUACGAUCUGAUGCAAGGUUAAGCAG
RNAcentral lists this ribosomal RNA (525 nucleotides) under Staphylococcus hominis. RNAcentral's name for it is "partial 23S ribosomal RNA". It matches the Rfam family "Bacterial large subunit ribosomal RNA", at positions 132 to 653 of the family's 2925-position model. The record is from RNAcentral. Lineage: Bacteria; Bacillati; Bacillota; Bacilli; Caryophanales; Staphylococcaceae.